AGCCGAUCUGUCCACUGAGCAGCUUUGAUUUCCAGCUCACGUGAACGAUUUUUGCUCUGUCUUCUUAAAUGCACGAGCGGGUUUGUGGGGGAGAGUGGAGAGCUGAGACGUCACCAGCUUCUCCACGUUCGCCGCAGGACUGCCGCCUUCCCGGGGCUCCCGACGCGGAGUCGGGGCUUCUCCGAACAGCAGAGCCCCGUCUAACCUGAGAAAUCCUCUCUCUUGGAUGCAGACGCUGACAAAGAACCAGGAAACACAUCUGGGAGCGAAAAACCCUGAAAACGAGGAACGACUCUCAGCUGUAGAAGUGCCAACGAAGCAGGUGGUCGAGGAGUGACCUUGCCGGUGCCGGGCACCUGUGCUCCUGCCUGGUCCCUGCCGUGUCUCCUCCGCAUGGGGACGGCGCUGCGGAGAGCCUGCUGUCGCUCCCCUCUAGUCCUCGGGCCCUCGCUGCAGCCAGUCCUGUAUAUGCAUAUAUAUACACAUAUGCACACAUGCAUACGUAUAUCUGGACUAUUUUGGGAUCUUCUUGCAAACCAGCCCCAUGUGUUAGGUUAUUCAUACACAGAUAUUUUGGAGCUCUGUUUUGGAGAGGAGGAGAGGCGCAGAUUUCUCUAUAUGUGGCUUUCUGUAUUUUUCUGUGCGUAGCGGACACUUUUCCCAAGGAAGAAUGAGACUGACUCUCGUGCCAUGGUAAUUCUGAGUUGCCCUUCUGAGACCAGGGAUAACUUUUGCUACAGGAAAGGCCAGUUUUUUGAAAGGAAAAUUGCUGUGGGAAUACUUGAAUUUCAGUAAAAUGCUGCUUACCAAAAUGUGUCUUUUAAAAAAUAUUUUCAUUUUUAUGGUGUGAGAAUUUAGAUUCUUUUCAUUUUGUAUAAAUAUAAAAUAAAAUAUAAAUACAUUGAAAAUUCA
This 912-nucleotide long non-coding RNA is filed under the name Struthio camelus australis. RNAcentral's name for it is "lncRNA (ENSSCUG00000009617.1)". The record is from RNAcentral. Lineage: Eukaryota; Metazoa; Chordata; Aves; Struthioniformes; Struthionidae.